AACAGGAUUAGAUACCCUGGUGGUCCACGCCGUAAACGAUGAACACUAGUUUUUGGAGGUAUUGACCCCUCCUGGAACGUAGCUAACGCGUUAAGUGUUCCGCCUGGGAAGUACGGCCGCAAGGCUGAAACUCAAAGGAAUUGACGGAGGCCCGCACAAGCGGUGGAUUAUGUGGUUUAAUUCGAAGCAACGCGCAAAACCUUACCUGGGCUAGAACUCCUCGGAAUCCGAUGUAAUGGUUGGAGUGCCCGCAAGGGAAUCGAGUGAGAGGUGCUGCAUGGCUGUCGUCAGCUCGUGUUGUGAAAUGUUGGGUUAAGUCUCGCAACGAGCGCAACCCCCAUCUUUAGUUGCCAGCAUUAAGUUGGGCACUCUAAGGAGACUGCCUGGGUUAACCAGGAGGAAGGUGGGGAUGACGUCAAGUCCUCAUGGCCCUUAUGUCCAGGGCCACACACGUAACACAAUGGUACGAACAAAGGGACGCGAACCAGCGAUGGGGAGCAAAUCUCAAAAAACGUAUCUCAGUCCGGAUUGAAGUCUGCAACUCGACUUCAUGAAGUUGGAAUCGCUAGUAAUCGCGGAUCAGAACGCCGCGGUGAAUACGUUCCCGGGCCUUGUACACACCGCCCGUCACACCAUGGGAGUUGGUUCAAUCUUAAGACGUGACUCUAACCGCAAGGGGGAGAGCGUCUACGGUGGGGCCGAUGACUGGGGUGAAGUCGUAACAAGGUAACC
RNAcentral lists this ribosomal RNA (732 nucleotides) under uncultured bacterium. RNAcentral's name for it is "bacterial SSU rRNA". It matches the Rfam family "Bacterial small subunit ribosomal RNA", at positions 771 to 1501 of the family's 1533-position model. The record is from RNAcentral.